This 63-nucleotide transfer RNA is filed under the name Gunungidia aurantiifasciata. RNAcentral describes it as "tRNA-Glu". Lineage: Eukaryota; Metazoa; Arthropoda; Insecta; Hemiptera; Cicadellidae. RNAcentral also lists the same sequence under 2 other names. The record is from RNAcentral.
ACUUUUAUAGUUUAAUAAAAAUAUUUUAUUUUCAUUAAAAUGAUGAUUAAAAAUCUAAGAGUU